UUAAGCAGUUCGGACAAUGUGGAGUCUUAUGAGUAUAUACGAAUUAUGUUCUUUUUAAAUUUUCAUAAUAUUAGAGAUGAAUUUAGUCUCUAAAUCUUGCCUUCUAGGUUAUAGGACUUCAUUUUUUUAUUAAUAAACAUUGAAAAUAGGCUACCCCUAACAAAGGUUAAUUUGGCAGUGAAGUUAGCAGUGCUAUAGUAAGUCCAUUCUGAUGUAAGAACUGCCCUCAUCUAAAGCACUUAAUUAAGGAAAUGUCAGAAGUAAUGGGUUUUAAAAACUGAUUAUCAAAAUUUAUUGAUUGUUCAAUCUGUAAAACAAAUCUGGUCUUUGUGGUUUUUCAUGGCCCGGUUAAUUGUGUCUAUUAUAUGCCAGGUUUUGUAUAUUGCUCUUUGAAAGUUCCAUUAAAAUCUGAUUCAUUUUGAUUUGAAGAUCUGUAAAUUAGAUCUGUAGUCUAAUAAAAUUAUGAGCGUUCAUUUAGUUCUUGGAAUAGAAUGUUAAAUUUUACAGUGUGAUCUUUACCAUUUUUUUUUCUUUCUGUGCCAAGCCUUUAACCAAAGAACAGUUAAAA
RNAcentral lists this long non-coding RNA (568 nucleotides) under Bos taurus (domestic cattle). Its description in RNAcentral is "long non-coding RNA NONBTAT011075". Lineage: Eukaryota; Metazoa; Chordata; Mammalia; Artiodactyla; Bovidae. The record is from RNAcentral.